AGUUCUGUCUGCAUGUAUGCCUGCCGGUGAGAAGAGGGCACCAGACCUCAUUACAGAUGGUUGUGAACCACCAUGUGGUUGCUGGGAAAUGAACUCAGAACCUCUGGAAGAGCAGCCAGUGCUCUUAACUGCUGAGCCAUCUCUCCAGCUCCGGCAUUAAGUUUUUGGUAAUUUUUUCUUUCAAUAGCCACAAGAAACUAAUAUAAUCAUGAAAACCAAGAAAGGAAGCUGGGGAAAUAAAGUGCUUAACGUGUUAGUAUGAGGACUGUGUUUUACCCCUAGAACUCAUGCAAACAUCUGGGUGCUAUGGCAUGCACUUGUAAUCCUAGUUCUUAGGAUGUAGAGAUGGGUCUAAUCGGCAAGCCUCAGGUUCCAGUAAGAGACCCUGCCUCAAAAACCAAAGACAGUGACUCCUGAGAAAAGCACCCAGUGAUGGUCUUUGCCUUUUAUUCCUUUCGUAGGAAUAAAAACAAUCCUCAGAGCCGGGCGUGUACCACCACUGCCUGGUACCCCUUACUUUAUUUUGUAAAACAUUUUUUUUCCUGAAUGAAGUGGAUAUAAGG
Molecule: long non-coding RNA, 563 nt
Filed under: Cricetulus griseus (Chinese hamster)
Lineage: Eukaryota; Metazoa; Chordata; Mammalia; Rodentia; Cricetidae
Description: lncRNA (ENSCGRG00015032679.1)
Source: RNAcentral